UGUGUGUUGUGUGUGUAGGAGAGGAGGGCGCAGUUUGAUUCAAUCCAUGUCAAGUCAGAGGCUGCUGCGAGGUUUGCACAUGCAAGUAGAAUUUAGAUGGUCCUGCUUCGCUUUCAGGUGGAUUUAUCUUGCAAAUGGUAUGUGGAUCCGUUCUAGAGGCAAUGAGCCUUGCAGCCAGUUUGCAGUAUAAAAAAACCCAAUUAUGUCCACUGCUGGUUCGACGCAGCGUGUGCCGAGGAUUUCUACUGCCGAGCAUAAGAAAGUAUUUGAAAUCAAGAACUUGCAUUCAUUCAAUCAUAAUGUGUUUCCUAUCAAGCAUAAGUGUGUGCGUUUUGUUUGAUAUCUGCUUUAAUAGGAGAUUGUUCUUGUCACCCUAAAAAUGUUCCCAUUCUA
Long non-coding RNA from Zea mays, 393 nucleotides. RefSeq lists it as uncharacterized. The record is from RefSeq and is a predicted model, not a curated record. The transcript is spliced from 3 exons. NCBI's taxonomy places the organism in Eukaryota, Viridiplantae, Streptophyta, Magnoliopsida, Poales, Poaceae.